AACGAACGCUGGCGGCAUGCCUAACACAUGCAAGUCGAACGAUGGUCUUCGGAUCAUAGUGGCGCACGGGUGCGUAACGCGUGGGAAUCUGCCCUUGGGUUCGGAAUAACAGUUGGAAACGACUGCUAAUACCGGAUGAUGUCGAUAAGACCAAAGAUUUAUCGCCCGAGGAUGAGCCCGCGUCGGAUUAGCUAGUUGGUGGGGUAAAGGCCUACCAAGGCGACGAUCCGUAGCUGGUCUGAGAGGAUGAUCAGCCACACUGGGACUGAGACACGGCCCAGACUCCUACGGGAGGCAGCAGUGGGGAAUAUUGGACAAUGGGCGCAAGCCUGAUCCAGCAAUGCCGCGUGAGUGAUGAAGGCCUUAGGGUUGUAAAGCUCUUUUACCCGGGAAGAUAAUGACUGUACCGGGAGAAUAAGCCCCGGCUAACUCCGUGC
RNAcentral lists this ribosomal RNA (437 nucleotides) under uncultured bacterium. RNAcentral describes it as "partial 16S ribosomal RNA". It matches the Rfam family "Bacterial small subunit ribosomal RNA", at positions 29 to 508 of the family's 1533-position model. The record is from RNAcentral.